AGUGAACGCUGGCGGUAGGCCUAACACAUGCAAGUCGAACGGCAGCACAGUAAGAGCUUGCUCUUACGGGUGGCGAGUGGCGGACGGGUGAGGAAUACAUCGGAAUCUACUUUUUCGUGGGGGAUAACGUAGGGAAACUUACGCUAAUACCGCAUACGACCUACGGGUGAAAGCAGGGGAUCUUCGGACCUUGCGCGAUUGAAUGAGCCGAUGUCGGAUUAGCUAGUUAGCGGGGUAAAGGCCCACCAAGGCGACGAUCCGUAGCUGGUCUGAGAGGAUGAUCAGCCACACUGGAACUGAGACACGGUCCAGACUCCUACGGGAGGCAGCAGUGGGGAAUAUUGGACAAUGGGCGCAAGCCUGAUCCAGCCAUACCGCGUGGGUGAAGAAGGCCUUCGGGUUUUAAAGCCCUUUUGUUGGGAAAGAAAAGCAGCAGGUUAAUACCCCGCUGUUCUGACGGUACCCAAAGAAUAAGCACCGGCUAACUUCGUG
RNAcentral lists this ribosomal RNA (492 nucleotides) under uncultured bacterium. Its description in RNAcentral is "partial 16S ribosomal RNA". It matches the Rfam family "Bacterial small subunit ribosomal RNA", at positions 29 to 507 of the family's 1533-position model. The record is from RNAcentral.